UCGGGUAUGGUGUAGCGGUAACAUCGUUGACUCUCACUUCUCAGGAGUGACUGCUUUCUCAACAGCCCCGGGUUCGACUCCCGGUAUCCGAG
RNAcentral lists this transfer RNA (92 nucleotides) under Neurospora tetraspora. RNAcentral describes it as "tRNA-Glu". It matches the Rfam family "tRNA". From Rfam's summary of the family: Transfer RNA (tRNA) molecules are approximately 80 nucleotides in length. Their secondary structure includes four short double-helical elements and three loops (D, anti-codon, and T loops). Lineage: Eukaryota; Fungi; Ascomycota; Sordariomycetes; Sordariales; Sordariaceae. The record is from RNAcentral. RNAcentral also lists the same sequence under 4 other names.